UUUGAAUCCUGGAUCAGGAUGAACGCUGGCGGCGUGUUAACACAUGCAAGUCGAACGGUGAAGCCAGCUGCUGGGGGAUCAGUGCGGACCGGGUGAGUACCCGUGACCAUCUGCCCCUGACUCUGGGAUAACCCCUGGAAACGCGUCUAAUACGGGAUAUGAGCUGCGAUCGCAUGGUCAGUACUGGAAAGAUUUUUUGGUCAGGGAUGAGCUCGCGGCCUAUCAGCUUGUUGGUGAGGUAAUGGCUCACCAAGGCGUCGACGGGUAGCCGGCCUGAGAGGGUGACCGGCCACACUGGGACUGAGACACGGCCCAGACUCCUACGGGAGGCAGCAGUGGGGAAUAUUGCACAAUGGGCGCAAGCCUGAUGCAGCAACGCCGCGUGAGGGAUGACGGCCUUCGGGUUGUAAACCUCUUUUAGCAGGGAAGAAGCGAAAGUGACGGUACCUGCAGAAAAAGCGCCGGCUAACUACGUGCCAGCAGCCGCGGUAAUACGUAGGGCGCAAGCGUUAUCCGGAAUUAUUGGGCGUAAAGAGCUCGUAGGCGGUUUGUCGCGUCUGCUGUGAAAUCCCGAGGCUCAACCUCGGGUCUGCAGUGGGUACGGGCAGACUAGAGUGCGGUAGGGGAGAUUGGAAUUCCUGGUGUAGCGGUGGAAUGCGCAGAUAUCAGGAGGAACACCGAUGGCGAAGGCAGAUCUCUGGGCCGUAACUGACGCUGAGGAGCGAAAGGGUGGGGAGCAAACAGGCUUAGAUACCCUGGUAGUCCACCCCGUAAACGUUGGGAACUAGUUGUGGGGUCCAUUCCACGGAUUCCGUGACGCAGCUUAACCGCCAAUUUAA
Molecule: ribosomal RNA, 839 nt
Filed under: Microbacterium hominis
Lineage: Bacteria; Bacillati; Actinomycetota; Actinomycetes; Micrococcales; Microbacteriaceae
Description: bacterial SSU rRNA
Rfam family: Bacterial small subunit ribosomal RNA
Source: RNAcentral